This 467-nucleotide ribosomal RNA is filed under the name uncultured bacterium. RNAcentral's name for it is "partial 16S ribosomal RNA". It matches the Rfam family "Bacterial small subunit ribosomal RNA", at positions 28 to 507 of the family's 1533-position model. The record is from RNAcentral.
GACGAACGCUGGCGGCGUGCUUAACACAUGCAAGUCGAACGGAAAGGCCCUGCUUUUGUGGGGUGCUCGAGUGGCGAACGGGUGAGUAACACGUGAGUAACCUGCCCUUGACUUUGGGAUAACUUCAGGAAACUGGGGCUAAUACCGGAUAGGAGCUCCUACUGCAUGGUGGGGGUUGGAAAGUUUCGGCGGUUGGGGAUGGACUCGCGGCUUAUCAGCUUGUUGGUGGGGUAGUGGCUUACCAAGGCUUUGACGGGUAGCCGGCCUGAGAGGGUGACCGGCCACAUUGGGACUGAGAUACGGCCAGACUCCUACGGGAGGCAGCAGUGGGGAAUAUUGCACAAUGGGCGGAAGCCUGAUGCAGCAACGCCGCGUGCGGGAUGACGGCCUUCGGGUUGUAAACCGCUUUCGCCUGUGACGAAGCGUGAGUGACGGUAAUGGGUAAAGAAGCACCGGCUAACUACGUG